AUGUUUGUGGCCCAAUUAGCUAGAAAGCAGGAAGUGAAUUCAGCAUUUUUCUAUGAUUUUGAGGUGAAUGAUGAGGGGAACCUGGUGCUUGUGUUCUGGGCGGAUGCCACAAGCAGGAAGAACUAUAGUCACUUUGGUGAUGUGAUAUCCUUCGAUUCUACAUACACCACUAAUCAGUACAACAUGAUAUUUGCACCAUUUACAGGGGUUAAUCAUCACUUACAAAGUGUCUUUUUUGGUGUUGGAUUCUUAUCAAAUGAGAAGGAUGAGUCAUACAUUUGGUUAUUUCAGACCUUCCUAAAAGCAAUGGGAGGGGUAGCACCUAGACUCAUCAUAAUUGAUGAAGCUGCUAGCAUCAAGAAUGGUAUUGACAAAGUUCUUCCAGCCACUAUGCAUAGGUUAUGCAUGUGGCAUAUAAUGGAAAAGGUGCCUGAAAAAGUUGGACCUUUGAUUAGGGAAGAUUCUGAAUUUUGGACGAGGUUGAACUCAUGUGUUUGGGGUUCAGAAACUGCAAGUGAGUUUGAGUCACAAUGGAAUUCCAUCAUUACAGAUUUUGGGUUGGAGGAAAAUGAGUGGUUAGCUAAGAGGUUUACCAUUAGAGAUACAUGGAUACCAGCCUACUUUAUGGAUAUAUCUCUUGCGGGCUUGCUCCGAACCACUUCAAGGUCAGAAAGUGCAAAUUCUUUUUUCAACCAUUUCAUUCAUCGUAGGCUUGCUUUUGUUGAGUUCAGGCUUAGGUUCGACACAACUUUAGAAUGCCAACGUGAGGAAGAAUUAAUGGCAGACAACAGAAGCAUGCAUACCACCCCACAACUAUUUACGCCAUGGACAAUGGAGAAACAAGGUAGUGAGGUAUUCACAUAUGAGGUAUUCGAGAAAUUUCAGCUACAAGUUAUUGCUGCUAGAGAUCAUUGUUGUGUUCAGGGUAUUACACAAGGUGUGGGGUUAAAAAUGGUGACCCUGAGAGGUCGAUCUGGUAAGGUUAGGGAGGUCUCCUAUGACACUACAACCAUGAUAGCAAAUUGUCUGUGCAAGUUAUUUGAGUCAAUCGGUAUUUCAUGUCGACAUAUUAUCCAAGUGUUGAGGAUUGAGAACCAAAAUGAGCUUCCCAACUAUUACAUUAUGAAAAGAUGGCAGAAACGGUGCAAGAGGUAA
RNAcentral lists this ribosomal RNA (1155 nucleotides) under Triticum aestivum (bread wheat). Its description in RNAcentral is "partial small subunit ribosomal RNA". The record is from RNAcentral. Lineage: Eukaryota; Viridiplantae; Streptophyta; Magnoliopsida; Poales; Poaceae.